RNAcentral lists this long non-coding RNA (237 nucleotides) under Lathyrus oleraceus (garden pea). RNAcentral describes it as "Pisum sativum (pea) long non-coding RNA (PSAT_LNC001793)". The record is from RNAcentral. Lineage: Eukaryota; Viridiplantae; Streptophyta; Magnoliopsida; Fabales; Fabaceae.
CAUGAUUGAAGAUCUUGUCUUAAGGCCUUGAGCUCCACAACGUGAAAGAAAAGUCCUACUAAGUGACCAAGGUGGUCACUCAAUUAGACUGUGGAAUUAUAUAAGUUCAAAGGAUUUAAUUAAUCAAAAUUGCUUUUGAUCAAUUUAAUCGGGGGUUUGAUUUUAGUUUUGAAGGGAACUAAUUUUUGGAUCUAAUUGAAGUUAGUAAUUGUUAGAAACUAACCUAAGGGAGCAUGC